Molecule: ribosomal RNA, 739 nt
Filed under: uncultured bacterium
Lineage: Bacteria
Description: bacterial SSU rRNA
Rfam family: Bacterial small subunit ribosomal RNA
Source: RNAcentral
CGGCCGCGGGANNUCGAUUAGAGUUUGAUUAUGGCUCAGAUUGAACGCUGGCGGCAUGCCUCACACAUGCAAGUCGAACGUGAAAGGGGGGCAACCCCCGAGUAGAGUGGCGGACGGGUGAGUAAUACAUCGGAACGUGCCCAGUAGUGGGGGACAACCUCGAGAAAUCGAGGCUAAUACCGCAUACGACCCACGGGUGAAAGCGGGGGACCGCAAGGCCUCGCGCUAUUGGAGCGGCCGAUGUCCGAUUAGCUAGUUGGUAGGGUAAAAGCCUACCAAGGCAACGAUCGGUAGCUGGUCUGAGAGGACGACCAGCCACACUGGGACUGAGACACGGCCCAGACUCCUACGGGAGGCAGCAGUGGGGAAUUUUGGACAAUGGGGGCAACCCUGAUCCAGCCAUGCCGCGUGCGGGAAGAAGGCCUUCGGGUUGUAAACCGCUUUCGGCCGGAACGAAAUCGCCGGUGAGAACGUCACCGGUGGAUGACGGUACCGGAAGAAGAAGCACCGGCUAACUACGUGCCAGCAGCCGCGGUAAUACGUAGGGUGCGAGCGUUAAUCGGAAUUACUGGGCGUAAAGCGUGCGCAGGUGGUUCGCUAAGACAGAUGUGAAAUCCCCGGGCUCAACCUGGGAACUGCGUUUGUGACUGGCGGGCUAGAGUGCGGAAGAGGGAGGUGGAAUUCCACGUGUAGCAGUGAAAUGCGUAGAGAUGUGGAGGANCACCGAUGGCGAAGGCAG